RNAcentral lists this long non-coding RNA (227 nucleotides) under Lathyrus oleraceus (garden pea). Its description in RNAcentral is "Pisum sativum (pea) long non-coding RNA (PSAT_LNC027763)". Lineage: Eukaryota; Viridiplantae; Streptophyta; Magnoliopsida; Fabales; Fabaceae. The record is from RNAcentral.
AUCCCUUUACCCAGUAACUGGUAGUGGAUAAUGCGUUUCCUACUCCUCAUGUGUUUGAAUACCUUUUCUUCCCCAGUUGAGUUGAGUGCACAUUCCCUUAGAGGAAUCACUUUUUCUGCAUGGUUCGAGUAUUUCAGCUUUGUUCUGACCUAUCUGAUUCCCUUACAGAAUUUCUUUCCCCCCUCCCCGGCUAAGUCUUUCCAUUUUCAUGGAAUUCCCCGUGUCCG